Molecule: ribosomal RNA, 706 nt
Filed under: uncultured Lachnospiraceae bacterium
Lineage: Bacteria; Bacillati; Bacillota; Clostridia; Lachnospirales; Lachnospiraceae
Description: bacterial SSU rRNA
Rfam family: Bacterial small subunit ribosomal RNA
Source: RNAcentral
GAAGCAGUUAAGAAGAUUCUUCGGAUGAUUCUUAACUGACUGAGCGGCGGACGGGUGAGUAACGCGUGGGUGACCUGCCCCAUACCGGGGGAUAACAGCUGGAAACGGCUGCUAAUACCGCAUAAGCGCACAGAGCUGCAUGGCUCGGUGUGGAAAACUCCGGUGGUAUGGGAUGGGCCCGCGUCUGAUUAGGCAGUUGGCGGGGUAACGGCCCACCAAACCGACGAUCAGUAGCCGGCCUGAGAGGGCGACCGGCCACAUUGGGACUGAGACACGGCCCAAACUCCUACGGGAGGCAGCAGUGGGGAAUAUUGCACAAUGGGGGAAACCCUGAUGCAGCGACGCCGCGUGAGCGAAGAAGUAUUUCGGUAUGUAAAGCUCUAUCAGCAGGGAAGAUAAUGACGGUACCUGACUAAGAAGCCCCGGCUAACUACGUGCCAGCAGCCGCGGUAAUACGUAGGGGGCAAGCGUUAUCCGGAUUUACUGGGUGUAAAGGGAGCGUAGGCGGCAAGGCAAGUCUGAUGUGAAAACCCAGGGCUUAACCCUGGGACUGCAUUGGAAACUGUCUGGCUCGAGUGCCGGAGAGGUAAGCGGAAUUCCUAGUGUAGCGGUGAAAUGCGUAGAUAUUAGGAAGAACACCAGUGGCGAAGGCGGCUUACUGGACGGUAACUGACGUUGAGGCUCGAAAGCGUGGGGAGCAAACAGG